This 504-nucleotide unclassified non-coding RNA is filed under the name uncultured Entrophospora. RNAcentral describes it as "SSU rRNA". It matches the Rfam family "Eukaryotic small subunit ribosomal RNA", at positions 591 to 1092 of the family's 1831-position model. Lineage: Eukaryota; Fungi; Glomeromycota; Glomeromycetes; Entrophosporales; Entrophosporaceae. The record is from RNAcentral.
CCAAUAGCGUAUAUUAAAGUUGUUGCAGUUAAAAAGCUCGUAGUUGAAUUUCGGGAUUGGCGCAUCGGUCGUGCCUUACGGGGUAUGAACUGGUGCAGUCAAUUUCUCACCUUCUGGAGAACCGCGAUGUCCUUAAUUGGGUGCCGCGGGGAACCAGGACCUUUACUUUGAAAAAAUUAGAGUGUUUAAAGCAGGCAUUUUUGCUUGAAUACAUUAGACUGGAAUAAUAAAAUAGGACGGCAUGGUUCUAUUUUGUUGGUUUCUAGGACCACCGUAAUGAUUAAUAGGGAUAGUUGGGGGCAUUAGUAUUCAAUUGUCAGAGGUGAAAUUCUUGGAUUUAUUGAAGACUAACUACUGCGAAAGCAUUUGCCAAGGAUGUUUUCAUUAAUCAAGAACGAAAGUUAGGGGAGCAAAGACGAUCAGAUACCGUCGUAGUCUUAACCAUAAACGAUGCCGACUAGGGAUCGGUGGGAGUUAGUUUUAUGACUCCAUCGGCACCUCAUG